Molecule: ribosomal RNA, 409 nt
Filed under: uncultured rumen bacterium
Lineage: Bacteria
Description: bacterial SSU rRNA
Rfam family: Bacterial small subunit ribosomal RNA
Source: RNAcentral
CAGCAGCCGCGGUAAUACAGAGGGUGCGAGCGUAAAUCGGAAUUACUGGGCGUAAAGCGAGUGUAGGUGGCUCAUUAAGUCACAUGUGAAAUCCCCGGGCUUAACCUGGGAACUGCAUGUGAUACUGGUGGUGCUAGAAUAUGUGAGAGGGAAGUAGAAUUCCAGGUGUAGCGGUGAAAUGCGUAGAGAUCUGGAGGAAUACCGAUGGCGAAGGCAGCUUCCUGGCAUAAUAUUGACACUGAGAUUCGAAAGCGUGGGUAGCAAACAGGAUUAGAUACCCUGGUAGUCCACGCCGUAAACGAUGUCUACUAGCCGUUGGGGUCCUUGAGACUUUAGUGGCGCAGUUUACGCGAUAAGUAGACCGCCUGGGGAGUACGGCCGCAAGGUUAAAACUCAAAGAAAUUGACGG